GAGGUGGGGUUGAGGGAGCCCAGGCGUUGGCACCUGCAUCUGUAAUGCUGCUGAUUUGCCCGCACCUCACUCUCCGGAAAGAGCAUCUCAGGAAAAGAAGUGAAUGCUCAAAAGCAGCAGUGCGAUUCGAGAGCUCGUGUGCCAUCUCCGUGGGAAGGGGCGGAGGACGGACGCCACUGAGAGGAGGGUGGCGGAUUUUCAGGAAAGGCCAGCUGGGACCUCCCGUGUGAUGUUCAAGGGCCCCACAAAGUUCUGCUCUACCAUGGCCAUGAAAAAGCUCCCUGACUUGGCUCCUGGACAACACCAUCCCUCGGGUUUCCUGUUAUCCUGAGAAUUGAGUGUCUUCAUCCAGGAUAUUUUCUCAGGAUAGACUUCCAGAGGUGGAAUUUCUGGAUCAAAGAAAGUGGACAUUUACAAGAUUCUCAGCACACUGCCAAGUGCACUGCCCUCGAAGGUACGCUCAUGCCCACCCUCCCCGGCGGGUGCCCCGGGGCCCCUGGUGGCCUCAGUAAGACUCUGUUAGACGGGCUCUGCAGUCAUUAGCAGGCUCAAGCGUGAGGUACGCAUGCAUUUUAUUUUUGUGUUUCUUUGAGUAGUAAUGCCGGGGCACAUUUUUUCCUCUUGGAGUCACCUUUCAAUGGCAGGUGAUUAAUAGUGGGUGGAAUGAGCGAGUCAGAGAACUUCUUCCACCUCCCUGGGGGGCAGCUGCUGGUGGCUGCCAAGAAUUCCAGCUCAGCUCGGCUGUUCAAACACUCCAGCCUUGUUUUCUUUUUGAGACUCAAAAAUCUCUGUGAGUGGGUGAGAAAACCCUUCAUAUAAACAAGGAAAAAUAUCUUUCUGGCGGUACAUUUCAAGAGGGCAUUGAAAGGAGUGGAAGAAGACCUGUGGCAGAAGGCUCCUUGUCCCUCCUGGGCAGCUCCGUGUCUCACGGCCUUGGCCCGUUCUGCAGUUUCAUAAGGAAGAGAGGGCGGGCUUUUCCUCCCUUUUUAUUGAUGAGGAAGUCCAGGCUCAAAGAGGACAGCCUCCUGCCCUUGCCCCACGUCCUCUCCCAGGAAGCAACUGUCUCCUUCAGCUAGCGACAGCAACUGCAAGAAGCCAGCAACAGGUUCACUUCAAAGGUCAGGCCGCAGCUGGGUCUGGCAGAGGCCGCCUGGAGUGGGGUGUGGGGAGGAUGGUGCCGCUCAGCCUGGCAGAGUGGGAGAGCGUUAUAAUCAACUGGCGAUGCCUGCCAGGCACACAGGCGGUGGGAGGGCGUCCACAGGCGCCCAGUGGUGAGCAGGUGCCAGCAUCGCCCGGGUGCAGGUAUCUACAACAAAUGUGAGCCUGCCCCCUCCGGAGUCUCCAAGACCCCAUGUCUUCUCCUAGGGAAAUUAGAAGGUUGGACAUCAGCACCCAUAUUGGUUUCUGUGGCCUUGUGUGGAGUUGGUUGUUUUGCCUCCUUUCUGUAUCAUAGUCCUAUGUGGGCCAGGGUGGAGUUCCGACCUGAGAGGGGUGUCAGAGCUGAGCCUUUGUAAAUCAAUGAAUUAAGAAACAUCUACCUUUUCCGGCCUCCUGCCUCCAUCCUGCCCUCUGCAAACAUGCCCAGCUGUCCCACCCCAAGACUCCGGUGCCCUGAGUCCUCUGCACAGAGAAGAGGGUUGUGCAGAGCCUCGCUCUUCCCUCUGCUUCCCCCGUGCCUGGAAGGAUGUGUGUGGCCGAGGGCUUUGCAAUACUUCAUCCUAAAGAAUAAAACUUGAAUUGUGGAAUUUCUGGUUUACUUGAGGUUGAAAAUUUAGGUGGAAUGCCUUCCCUGGGCGUCUCAAAUGCCCUGUCGGCAGGCUGUAAGAGGCAGCCCUUCUCAACCCGUUUGUGUUUCCCCUCUUGGAUUCUAGCCAGGUAUCUUUUGUCCCAGAGGAGCAGAAAAUGUGUCCACAGAAUGCUGAAGACCUUGCUUCAGAGGUCAGAAGACCUUGUGCAGAGUUCAGUGACAAAGGCGGAUGGGCAGUCUUCAUCCAUGAACCCAACAGAUCUAUUCUGCACUUCGGUUGCAGCGGCUAUGGUCUUCUGUACACACGGCCUCCCAUAACCAAGGCAGAGUCAGGUGGAUUCACAGUUGUGUCAAAAGUGGGCUUUGCUUCUGUCCUAAGGGAUCUGUUAUAGGGUGCUUUUUCCUAUUCAGGCCUCAGCAAUUUCUAGACCAUCUUUCUUCCAGAGUACACCUCUCACUCAUCUUCAAUGUUAACUGCUAACAUGUUUUGCAAAUCUGACCAUAUCUGCACCCUGUUCACUCCUGUAAGUCCUUCCAAGGUCUCUCUCCCACCCACAAGGCAACAUCCAGGCCCCAAAGAAUGGCAGCCAGACCCCCCAUUACCUGGUUCUUUGUGGUCUCUGGAUCCAGCCUCAUCCUGUUCACUUCUGCACAGGACUCACGUUCCAGGUAUAACAGCACACCGGAAGUUUCUACACGCACCUCUGUUUCUCUGCAUUUCUCACUCCUUCAUCCUGCUCACUCCUUCAGAACCAGGCUCAGAAUUUCUCCUCCAAGGAUCCUUCCCUGACCUCACUCAGGCCUUAAGAUCUCCUUCCACUGUGGACUUUCACAGCCUGAGCAGAUUGAACACGUUUUCUGUUGUGGUGAGUGUCCUCCAGGGCAGUGGCUGGGCCUGGCUCGCCUCUAAAUCUCUGGCACUGUGCCUGCAGUGUAGCAUAAACCCAGAGAACAUGUGUGGAAAGAAUGAUGGAAUGCACGAAGGUGCAUCACUGCCCGGAUGCUGAGGUCCGGAUGCUCACCAUCAUUCUGUCCUGAUGUCUCCACUUGUAACCCAUAGAGGACAAUGUCUAAUGGACAACAGCUGUGAAUUCAAUGCUCCUUCGCUGGAGGAAGGCACGGCCUGCCCCUGGGGUAUCUCCGAGGUCCACAGAGUGCUCAUGUUGAGAGCGCUGAAUAUAGAACUGCUUGCUAAGUACUUUUUGACUUGGAGAGAAAAAGAAUAAUAAUUUUAGCUAUCUGAAAACUAAGAGGUGGCCAGAGUGUUUGGUUUGACGUUAAAGACCAGAAGGACUGCUUAUCUUAAGCAUCUUUAAAGAUCUUUAAUGUUGGCCGGAAGAGAUUUUUGGAUCACAGGAGGACCUUAGAAAUAGAGGCUGGCGAAUUCCGUGCAGCCUCAAUGCCAGGGCUCCGGGGGUCUGAAUUCAUCCACAGACUGCGACAUUCCCGCAGUGUGUGCCCUGAUUUGUUAUGUGAUAGCAAACCAAUAAAAACACCCAAGCCUGCAGCCCUCUCUCUCACGCAAAGGGAUGGAGAAAAGCUUUCUGCUUGAAACUCCCUCAUAGGUCUCAAGAAGUGGAAGAUGCUUUCUGGCUUGCUGGUGAGAAGGCAGGGUGCUUUAAAGGGUUCUGAGCCCAGUUACUUCGCGUGUUGCCAGGGGUACACGCAUGUGCACGUUUAUUCAACAAGUGUCUCCUGAGCGCUCGCAGGCCAGACGCUCUGCUCUCCAUGGGCUUCUCACACUUCUCAUAUCUUGCGAGUGAGGCACGACCUGCCCUUUGCUCUGGACUACCUUUUCAGGGAUGUUUGUGUAGCAAGCAGCCUUGGAAGAUGGAGGAAGGGCCUCCCCCAGAGCAGAGGGCAGGCCUGCUCACUCCCCAUUGAGAGUCUCUGCUUCGCUAGCUCAGGGCUCCUCUUCUGGAACUCAACCUGCCAUGUGGGCAAGCAUCCGUCUGGGACUGUCCACACUGCCACGUGGGACUGGGGGACAAGGAGAACUGAGGCAACAUGCUGAUGCUCAUGCCCUUGUUGUGCUGAGGGUAACAAAGCUCUCCGUCUUGGACCCAGGAGCCUUGCGGCUUCUGUCAGCAGCCACGAAGUGUUACAGGCAAGCAGGUCACGUUGCGUAGCCUUCACAGGUCCUCACACGCUCAUAUCCUUAUUGGAUUUUAUAUUCAAAACACCCUAAAAUGCAAAUAUUUUUAUCUUCACUUUGUUGAUUAGAACUGAAGCAGAGAAGUUAAGUAACUCUUCCCACGUCACAGAGCUCGUUAGUGCCAGAGGGGAGAUUUUUGUUCCCCCCCCAUCUCACUCCAGAACCACACUCUUUCCAUGAUAUGUUGACGUGUUAAAGUGCAAACACUGCAGUGCCUGCAGUUCUGUCCAUGGGCCGGGCCCGUUCAAAUCCUGUGGGCCCUAAAUCAUUCCAUUGCUGUGAUGAUAAAAGUGCUCAGGCAGAGAACGGAAAACGAUUGAGCAAUGUCUCUCCCCGAGGACACACACAGGACAAAACCACUGGGAGUCCCUCCCACGGAAGGCCGUUCUCUCUCAUAUUUACAGAGCGGUUGGCUUGGAGCCCUGACCUGCUGCCCUUUCUUCUGGUGGACAGAGGGGAUGUGUCUUCCACCAGGCAGGAGGGGUCGGGUCAGGGGACAUCCAGACUCGACAACUGGGCCGCUGGAGCAGUGGGCGUGCAUGAGGCGUGUCUCCAGCCCCUGGGCAGGGUCCAAACCUGGAUCAGCCUUUAGAAGCCCCCUUGUACAUUUCCACAGUGCAUUUGAUCUUGUGUUCUGUUGAAUUUGAUCAUUCCCAUGUCCUUAUGACAAAGACCGACCUGUUCCUUCAGCGGUUCCCUAUUGCCCAUGGGGCGAAGUCCUAUUUCUUAGCCUGGGCCCAAGGCCCUCCGUGGUCCAGCCUCAGUUUACGGUGCCCCAACCCAAACCGCCCUCUCCUCUGCAGUCUUUUCCAACUCCGCUUGUUCCCCAGGUGGAACCUGCCCCUCCACUUCUCCUUGGUGUUCACAUUUAUCUGGAUCACUUCCCUCACGGCAUCCAGAACACCUUAGGGCUGCCUACAUUUGCAUGUUUAUCUUCUCCACCGAGCCAUGAACCCCUUGAAGCGGGGCCUGUUAUAUUCAGCCGUCAUCCCCACACUUACAGAGGCACCUAAUGCAUGUUCGUGGAUUGCAGUUGUGGACUCAGACACACAAACACAAUGUGCAUUGAUCGAUUUGUCUCUGAGUUUGAAAUUUCAUCAUUAAAUACUCUUAUUUUGGGGUUUAAAACUUUUUAAAAGCACGAAUCAUUCAAGAAGGAUUAGUCUGGAUGUUUUGCUGUGCUGUAAUCUAGCUGAUCAUUUCCUCUCUGAUGAGAGUGACCCGGGUGGAGAGAUUCUUGGGGCUUAAGGUGUGGAUGAUGUGUGGUUACCCUGAAAACCAUCUUCAUCUUGCUAAUCAUUCCGCCAAGGGCCCAGAGCCCAGGACUCCACCUUGUCACCAACUCUCACCACCCAGAGCUGACCAGGCCAGCCCACACCAGGAAUGGGGUUGUUGGCCCAGGACGCCAGGUCACCGCUGGCCAGGGCCACGAGAUGGCGGAGAUCCCAGCACUGAGCCAGCACUGGGAGCAUUUCAGCAUCCCUGAGUCCUGGUGGGCCUGCUCAGCUCCCACAAGGAGCUCCUGCUGAUUCACCUCACUCCAGCCUGCUGGUCAGACACACUUGCGUUCAAAUGCCCCCCUGGCCGUUAGGAGCUGUGUGACCUCCGGCAAGCCCUUCGAUCUUCCUGAAUCUCAGUUUCUACGGGUCUAAAGGGAGAAUGAGGCCAUCCACCUGCCAGGGUUAUUGAGAGGCUGGAAGGCAGAACCGCGUGCAGAGAAGCUGGGAUUUC
This is a long non-coding RNA of Equus quagga, 5633 nucleotides long. RefSeq lists it as uncharacterized. The transcript is spliced from 5 exons. The record is from RefSeq and is a predicted model, not a curated record. NCBI's taxonomy places the organism in Eukaryota, Metazoa, Chordata, Mammalia, Perissodactyla, Equidae.